GACGAAGAAGUCGCAGGUGUGUCUUCUGAAAGAAGGCUGUCAUACCUUAUGUUUGUUUAGCACCCGGCUGAGGAACAAGGUGACUGGAUCAGAGGCUGGGUUUGGCUUCCAACACACUGCAUGCUCUGACCAAAGCUGUUAUUUUGGCCUCCAUCCACAAUUGGCAGCUCACCCUCCUCAUCAUGUUGUCACCGCAGCAUUUUCUGCUUGACUGCACCAUCCCAGAAAAAUAAACCGAGUAGAGGAGGCAGAGGAAGAGGAUAUGAAGAAAAUCCAAAAGAGUUGGAGAGUGCGUUGGCUGACGGAAAUAAAGCAUAUCAAUCACUGUGGUGAGAUGUCCUCACAAUGAGGCAUCCUCAGUAUUGAAUAGUGAGACCUAUUGUGCUUCAACCCUGACUGACACACAUCUAAACUAGACCUGCAGCACCUGUGAUUCAAGCUGUCACAAGUUGUUGAAUCACCUCAUGUUGUCCUUAUCAACGCACAUGUCUCAUAAUUUGCAAAAAAGAC
Molecule: long non-coding RNA, 510 nt
Organism: Perca flavescens (yellow perch)
Lineage: Eukaryota; Metazoa; Chordata; Actinopteri; Perciformes; Percidae
Exons: 5
Source: RefSeq, a predicted model, not a curated record